GCUACGGACAAAGGGCUGCAAGUUCGCGAGGACAAGCAAAUCCCAUAAACCGUGGCUCAGUUCAGAUCGUAGGCUGCAACUCGCCUACGUGAAGGCGGAAUCGCUAGUAAUCGCAGGUCAGCAUACUGCGGUGAAUACGUUCCCGGGCCUUGUACACACCGCCCGUCACACCAUGGAAGUUGGCCACGCCCGAAGCCGUUACUCCAACCCUUGUGGAGGAGGACGUCGAAGGUGGGGCUGAUGACUGGGGUGAAGUCGUAACAAGGUAUCCGUACCGGAAGGUGCGGAUGGAUCACCUCCUAA
RNAcentral lists this ribosomal RNA (303 nucleotides) under Synechococcus sp. UW86. Its description in RNAcentral is "partial 16S ribosomal RNA". It matches the Rfam family "Bacterial small subunit ribosomal RNA", at positions 1229 to 1533 of the family's 1533-position model. Lineage: Bacteria; Bacillati; Cyanobacteriota; Cyanophyceae; Synechococcales; Synechococcaceae. The record is from RNAcentral.